This 460-nucleotide ribosomal RNA is filed under the name uncultured bacterium. RNAcentral describes it as "partial 16S ribosomal RNA". It matches the Rfam family "Bacterial small subunit ribosomal RNA", at positions 338 to 795 of the family's 1533-position model. The record is from RNAcentral.
CCUACGGGAGGCAGCAGUGAGGAAUAUUGGUCAAUGGACGAGAGUCUGAACCAGCCAAGUAGCGUGAAGGAUGACUGCCCUAUGGGUUGUAAACUUCUUUUAUAAAGGAAUAAAACGAGGCACGUGUGCCUUUUUGCAUGUACUUUAUGAAUAAGGAUCGGCUAACUCGGUGCCAGCAGCCGCGGUAAUACGGAGGAUCCGCGCGUUAUCCGGAUUUUUUGGGUUUAAAGGGAACGUAGAUGGGUUGUUAAGUCAGUUGUGAAAGUUUGCGGCUCAACCGUAAAAUUGCAAUUGAUACUGGCAGUCUUGAGUACAGUUGAGGUAGGCGGAAUUCGUGGUGUAGCGGUGAAAUGCUUAGAUAUCACGAAGAACCCCGAUUGCGAAGGCAGCUUACUAAACUGUGACUGACAUUGAUGCUCGAAAGUGUGGGUAUCAAACAGGAUUAGAUACCCGAGUAGUC